UACAGAGGGUGCAAGCGUUAAUCGGAAUUACUGGGCGUAAAGCGCACGUAGGUGGCGACGUAAGUCGGGUGUGAAAGCCCCGGGCUCAACCUGGGAAUUGCAUUCGAGACUGCAUUGCUGGAGUACGGAAGAGAAGGGCGGAAUUCCCGGUGUAGCGGUGGAAUGCGUAGAUAUCGGGAGGAACAUCUGUGGCGACAGCGGGCCUCUGGUCCUCUACUGACACUCGAGUACCAAAUCAUGCGGAUCGAAUACG
RNAcentral lists this ribosomal RNA (253 nucleotides) under uncultured bacterium. RNAcentral describes it as "partial 16S ribosomal RNA". It matches the Rfam family "Bacterial small subunit ribosomal RNA", at positions 524 to 776 of the family's 1533-position model. The record is from RNAcentral.